AUUUGGUAAAGAAAAUUUCAAUGAAAUUUGCUAAAAAAACCUAUAUAACCGUAAAUUUAAAUAUGUAAAUAAAACUUUGUAACAAACUAAACUAAUUCUAAUUAUGGGAUAAUCUAAUUAUACUAAAUCAACAGUCACUUUUUCAAUAACUGAUACAUUCUCCUUUCGACAUGUGGCAUAAGUCUCAUUUUUUUAUGUUUUACUUUUUUUAAUCAAUUUUCAUUUAUUAUUGAAAAAAAAAUAAGUUUCCACAAAAAAAAAAGAUAUUCUCCUACAUCUUAGCAACUCCUCUUUUCCACGUUUUAAGAAUUCUCUGUAUUAAUUGCCACACUUCUACAAUUGAACAACACCUCCCCCAAAAAAAACUAUCGCUCAUCUCCACGGUUUUAAUUUUUUUCUGCAACUAUGAUAUCCAAUUUUCCUCGACCAUACACAAUUAUAAUCUUUGCUGAUAUACCAAAAUUUUAAAAUUUUUUUAUUAAAUACAGUUUACAGCGAUGAAGACAUUAAUUUUGGCAUUUGUAUAUUGCGGGAGAAUACAAACAACAAGGUCAGUCAUCUACUUCACAUGCAUUCAAAUUUAUAUUCUUUUAUGUUAGACAAUGUUAUAAGCCUUUGU
This 619-nucleotide small RNA is filed under the name Arabidopsis thaliana (thale cress). RNAcentral describes it as "ATSL027090". The record is from RNAcentral. Lineage: Eukaryota; Viridiplantae; Streptophyta; Magnoliopsida; Brassicales; Brassicaceae.